This 397-nucleotide ribosomal RNA is filed under the name uncultured bacterium. RNAcentral describes it as "partial 16S ribosomal RNA". It matches the Rfam family "Bacterial small subunit ribosomal RNA", at positions 523 to 918 of the family's 1533-position model. The record is from RNAcentral.
AUACGUAGGGGGCGAGCGUUGUCCGGAAUGAUUGGGCGUAAAGGGCGCGUAGGCGGCCGCUUAAGUCUGGAGUGAAAGUCCUGUUUUCAAGAUGGGAAUUGCUUUGGAUACUGGGGGGCUUGAGUGCAGGAGAGGUUAUCGGAAUUCCCGGUGUAGCGGUGAAAUGCGUAGAGAUCGGGAGGAACACCAGUGGCGAAGGCGGGUAACUGGACUGCAACUGACGCUGAGGCGCGAAAGUGUGGGGAGCAAACAGGAUUAGAUACCCUGGUAGUCCACACUGUAAACGAUGAAUGCUAGGUGUAAGAGGUAUCGACCCCUUUUGUGCCGGAGUCAACACAAUAAGCAUUCCGCCUGGGGAGUACGGCCGCAAGGUUGAAACUCAAAUGAAUUGACGGGG